AGUUGGUUUUAUUAGCUCAUAGUCUGCAUGGGACAAAAAUUCCAAAAAGCAAUCAAUGGUUCUCAGAU
This is a long non-coding RNA of Oryzias melastigma (Indian medaka), 68 nucleotides long. RefSeq lists it as uncharacterized. The record is from RefSeq and is a predicted model, not a curated record. The transcript has 3 exons. NCBI's taxonomy places the organism in Eukaryota, Metazoa, Chordata, Actinopteri, Beloniformes, Adrianichthyidae.